Molecule: ribosomal RNA, 115 nt
Filed under: Cratoneuron filicinum
Lineage: Eukaryota; Viridiplantae; Streptophyta; Bryopsida; Hypnales; Amblystegiaceae
Description: 5.8S ribosomal RNA
Source: RNAcentral
AAACAAUNUNCAGCAACGGGAUNUUGGUGAAUUGCAGNAAUUCCGCGAAUCAUCGAGUCUUUGAACGCAAGUUGCGCCCGAGCUUGUCCGAGGGCAUUUCCGCUAGAGCGUCACC